CACCAUCCAACUUUAGGCACAUAUUUUCCCUUGAACAGUUAAAUGUCAUGUCUCCUACUUUUAUCAUCCUACAUGACGCCUAUGUGGCAUAUCUACAUAGAUAUAUAUUUAUUCCACCAAUCUUCCUCGUAAUUUAAUUAUUAAAUUCAUCCAUUACAUAAAACCCAUUUCCUAAUAUUACUUCAUUUUCACUUUUACCAGAGAAAAAUCCUUUAACAGAUAAACAAAGC
Molecule: long non-coding RNA, 230 nt
Filed under: Solanum tuberosum (potato)
Lineage: Eukaryota; Viridiplantae; Streptophyta; Magnoliopsida; Solanales; Solanaceae
Description: long non-coding RNA (STUB_LNC010451)
Source: RNAcentral